CAGCCGCCACGGGAAUACGUAGGGUGCAAGCGUUAAUCGGAAUUACUGGGCGUAAAGCGUGCGCAGGCGGUUCGCUAAGACAGAUGUGAAAUCCCCGGGCUUAACCUGGGAACUGCAUUUGUGACUGGCGGGCUAGAGUAUGGCAGAGGGGGGUGGAAUUCCUGGUGUAGCAGUGAAAUGCGUAGAGAUCAGGAGGAACACCGAUGGCGAAGGCAGCCCCCUGGGCCUGUACUGACGCUCAUGCACGAAAGCGUGGGGAGCAAACAGGAUUAGAUACCCCGGUAGUCCCUGUCUCUUAUAC
RNAcentral lists this ribosomal RNA (301 nucleotides) under uncultured bacterium. RNAcentral's name for it is "partial 16S ribosomal RNA". It matches the Rfam family "Bacterial small subunit ribosomal RNA", at positions 509 to 807 of the family's 1533-position model. The record is from RNAcentral.